This 496-nucleotide ribosomal RNA is filed under the name uncultured bacterium. Its description in RNAcentral is "partial 16S ribosomal RNA". It matches the Rfam family "Bacterial small subunit ribosomal RNA", at positions 28 to 506 of the family's 1533-position model. The record is from RNAcentral.
GAUGAACGCUGGCGGCGUGCCUAAUACAUGCAAGUCGAGCGAACGGACGAGAAGCUUGCUUCUCUGAUGUUAGCGGCGGACGGGUGAGUAACACGUGGAUAACCUACCUAUAAGACUGGGAUAACUUCGGGAAACCGGAGCUAAUACCGGAUAAUAUUUUGAACCGCAUGGUUCAAAAGUAAAAGACGGUCUUGCUGUCACUUAUAGAUGGAUCCGCGCUGCAUUAGCUAGUUGGUAAGGUAACGGCUUACCAAGGCAACGAUGCAUAGCCGACCUGAGAGGGUGAUCGGCCACACUGGACCUGAGACACGGUCCAGCCUCCUACGGGAGGCAGCAGUAGGGAAUCUUCCGCAAUGGGCGAAAGCCUGACGGAGCAACGCCGCGUGAGUGAUGAAGGUCUUCGGAUCGUAAAACUCUGUUAUUAGGGAAGAACAUAUGUGUAAGUAACUGUGCACAUCUUGACGGUACCUAAGCAGAAAGCCACGGCUAACUACGU